UACGAAGGGGGCUAGCGUUGCUCGGAAUCACUGGGCGUAAAGGGUGCGUAGGCGGGUCUUUAAGUCAGGGGUGAAAUCCUGGAGCUCAACUCCAGAACUGCCUUUGAUACUGAAGAUCUUGAGUCCGGGAGAGGUGAGUGGAACUGCGAGUGUAGAGGUGAAAUGCGCAGAUAUCGGGAAGAACACCCGUGGCGAAGGCGGCUCUCUGGGACGGUACUGACGCUGAGACGCGAAAGCGUGGGGAGCGAACAGG
Molecule: ribosomal RNA, 253 nt
Filed under: uncultured bacterium
Lineage: Bacteria
Description: partial 16S ribosomal RNA
Rfam family: Bacterial small subunit ribosomal RNA
Source: RNAcentral